UGGAAGUAAAAGUCGUAACAAGGUCUCCGUUGGUGAACCAGCGGAGGGAUCAUUACCGAGUUUACAACUCCCAAACCCCAAUGUGAACGUUACCAAUCUGUUGCCUCGGCGGGAUUCUCUGCCCCGGGCGCGUCGCAGCCCCGGAUCCCAUGGCGCCCGCCGGAGGACCAACUCAAACUCUUUUUUCUCUCCGUCGCGGCUUCCGUCGCGGCUCUGUUUUACCUUUGCUCUGAGCCUUUCUCGGCGACCCUAGCGGGCGUCUCGAAAAUGAAUCAAAACUUUCAACAACGGAUCUCUUGGUUCUGGCAUCGAUGAAGAACGCAGCGAAAUGCGAUAAGUAAUGUGAAUUGCAGAAUUCAGUGAAUCAUCGAAUCUUUGAACGCACAUUGCGCCCGCCAGUAUUCUGGCGGGCAUGCCUGUCCGAGCGUCAUUUCAACCCUCGAACCCCUCCGGGGGGUCGGCGUUGGGGAUCGGCCCCUCACCGGGCCGCCCCCGAAAUACAGUGGCGGUCUCGCCGCAGCCUCUCCUGCGCAGUAGUUUGCACACUCGCACCGGGAGCGCGGCGCGGCCACAGCCGUAAAACACCCCAAACUCUGAAAUGUUGACCUCGGAUCAGGUAGGAAUACCCGCUGAACUUAAGCAUAUCAAUAAGCGGAGGAA
RNAcentral lists this unclassified non-coding RNA (660 nucleotides) under Trichoderma reesei. RNAcentral's name for it is "sequence contains 18S rRNA gene, ITS1, 5.8S rRNA gene, ITS2, 28S rRNA gene". The stretch from base 277 to 430 matches the Rfam family "5.8S ribosomal RNA". The record is from RNAcentral. Lineage: Eukaryota; Fungi; Ascomycota; Sordariomycetes; Hypocreales; Hypocreaceae.